UACGGAGGGGGCUAGCGUUGUUCGGAAUUACUGGGCGUAAAGCGUACGUAGGCGGCUUUGUAAGUUAGAGGUGAAAGCCCGGAGCUCAACUCCGGAAUUGCCUUUAAGACUGCAUCGCUAGAAUUGUGGAGAGGUGAGUGGAAUUCCGAGUGUAGAGGUGAAAUUCGUAGAUAUUCGGAAGAACACCAGUGGCGAAGGCGACUCACUGGACACAUAUUGACGCUGAGGUGCGAAAGCGUGGGGAGCAAACAGG
This 253-nucleotide ribosomal RNA is filed under the name uncultured bacterium. Its description in RNAcentral is "partial 16S ribosomal RNA". It matches the Rfam family "Bacterial small subunit ribosomal RNA", at positions 524 to 776 of the family's 1533-position model. The record is from RNAcentral.